RNAcentral lists this long non-coding RNA (1468 nucleotides) under Echeneis naucrates (live sharksucker). RNAcentral's name for it is "lncRNA (ENSENLG00000012450.1)". Lineage: Eukaryota; Metazoa; Chordata; Actinopteri; Carangiformes; Echeneidae. The record is from RNAcentral.
UUAAAAUCAAACACAUUUUUUUCUUCUGGUAAUAUCUCUUCAUAGGGAGUACCGGGUCCCAAGGGAGAGCCAGGGGAGAAGGGUUUGCCGGACAUUAGCUUGCAGAUGUUCCACGACUUGCAGGCAGACCUUGAGCUUCUGGCUCGCAGGGUGACACUGCUGGAGGCUAUCAUCUGGCCAGAGCCUGAUCUAGGGUCUGGGGAUGGACCGUUUGGCACAGCCUCCCCUAGUUUCUACAGAGAUAAGCGAGCAGGUGCUCUUCCAUAUCGACUUGCUUCUCCUCUGUCCUCCGACACCAAGGUUCAAGGGAAGUAAAUCCCCCUGCUCACCCUGAGGAUCACAGACUGGGUUGACCCGCCCCCCUCCCCCAAACACCUGCCCCCCCUUUCCUAUACUAUAGGUCUCAUCAGCACUCUAUAGAUUUAGACCUUAUCUGAUCCCCUGUGUAGGGUUUAUCAUCAGAUUAAGGAUGGGGGACACCUCAGGGAAACUCCACUGAUACUCCAUAAUGGUCCUCCUCAAUUGGGAAAUUGAGAACUAGUUUGACCCCCAGCCAUCACCAUAACCACUUAUCUGCACAUAAUACACCCGUAAAACACCUCUCAUUUUCUGUAGCUGCAGGCCAAACGCCUCAGGUCAUAUUUAAAAAAAAAAAAAAAAAAAAAAAAAGAGAGAAUCUGUUGUGCUUCUUGAGCUAAAAACUUUUCUGGACAAUAAGGGGCACAUAGAGUAUUCAGUUGAAGGAGAAAUCAGAUGUGAGAAAAGAGACUGGAUUUAGGUUUGUAUUGCUUUCACAACUGCAAUAUGAACACAUUCCAUUAUUUAAGUAUAUUGAGCAUGUGCAGUCUGCAGGACACAAUUAUACAAACCUCUUCUAUUAGUAUUAAUUUUGUUAUACUUCUUUCAUAUUGUAUAACUCAAUGUUAUGUAGUGCACUAAAAUCUUAAGUCAUCUCUACUUUAAGUGAGAUCUGUGUUGCUAACAGUGAUUUGUUGUUUUCUGGUGUGAGUGUUUUUCCCCUUAAAGUACACACUGUUAAUAUUUACGUGUAAUUAAAAAAAAAAAAAAUCAUAAACUUUUGCAUUUGUUUUCGCUACAUAUUGGUGAAAACGUUGUGUUCUAAAAUCUGAAUAUGUUGAAAUGAAAUAUGGCUGUCCAUUUAUAAUCUUUAAGACAAACACGCACGCACACAAAAGAAAUAACAAAACUGUUAACAGAACUUGAACAUUUUUUUUUUUACCACUGCUGUGUUGGUAAAUUUAAGACUGCUUAAACUGUCCUGAUGAAAACACUUGAUGAUUUUUUUUUCAUCUUAAAACAAACCUAUUGUGAAACUAUUUAAAAUGAUCAAGUGUAGUUUAUUUUGUAUGCUGUCAUGUAACCAUUUCAUAUUUUGAACUUUUUUUUCCUUGCCAAUGUGUUAUUGUGUUAAGAUAAUCCUGUGUAGGUUGAUCGGUGUAAUUAAAAA